Molecule: ribosomal RNA, 460 nt
Filed under: uncultured Paludibacter sp.
Lineage: Bacteria; Pseudomonadati; Bacteroidota; Bacteroidia; Bacteroidales; Paludibacteraceae
Description: bacterial SSU rRNA
Rfam family: Bacterial small subunit ribosomal RNA
Source: RNAcentral
CCUACGGGGGGCUGCAGUGAGGAAUAUUGGUCAAUGGGCGAGAGCCUGAACCAGCCAAGUCGCGUGAAGGAAGACUGUCCUAUGGAUUGUAAACUUCUUUUGUACGGGAAUAAAGUGGGCUACGUGUAGCCUUUUGUAUGUACCGUACGAAUAAGGAUCGGCUAACUCCGUGCCAGCAGCCGCGGUAAUACGGAGGAUCCGAGCGUUAUCCGGAUUUAUUGGGUUUAAAGGGUGCGUAGGUGGAUUGAUAAGUCAGUGGUGAAAGUUUGCAGCUUAACUGUAAAAUUGCCGUUGAAACUGUCGGUCUUGAGUGCAAAUGAGGUAGGCGGAAUGCGUCGUGUAGCGGUGAAAUGCUUAGAUAUGACGCAGAACUCCGAUUGCGAAGGCAGCUUACUGGGAUGCAACUGACACUGAGGCACGAAAGCGUGGGUAUCAAACAGGCUUAGAUACCCCGGUAGUC